GACGAACGCUGGCGGCGUGCUUAACACAUGCAAGUCGAACGGAAAGGCCCUGCUUUUGCGGGGUGCUCGAGUGGCGAACGGGUGAGUAACACGUGAGUAACCUGCCCUUGACUUUGGGAUAACUUCAGGAAACUGGGGAUCAUACCGGAUAGGAGCUCCUGCUGCAUGGUGGGGGUUGGAAAGUUUCGGCGGUUGGGGCUGGACUCGCGGCUUAUCCGCUUGUUGGUCGGGUAGUGGCUUACCAAGGCUUUGACGGGUAGCCGGCCUGAGAGGGUGACCGGCCCCAAUGCGACUACGAUACGGCGCAGUAUCCUACGGGAGGCAGCGGUGGAGAAUAUGACACAAUGGGCGGAAGCCAGUUGCAGCAACGCCGCGUGCGGGAUGACGGCCUUCGGGUUGUAAACCGCUUUCGCCUGUGACGAAGCGUGAGUGACGGUAAUGGGUAAAGAAGCACCGGCUAACUACGUG
Molecule: ribosomal RNA, 468 nt
Filed under: uncultured bacterium
Lineage: Bacteria
Description: partial 16S ribosomal RNA
Rfam family: Bacterial small subunit ribosomal RNA
Source: RNAcentral